GUGGGGAAUUUUGCGCAAUGGGGGCAACCCUGACGCAGCGACGCCGCGUGGAGGACGAAGUCUUUCGGGAUGUAAACUCCUGUCAGUGGGGACGAUAAUGACGGUACCCACAGAGGAAGCACCGGCUAACUCCGUGCCAGCAGCCGCGGUAAGACGGAGGGUGCAAGCGUUGUUCGGAAUUACUGGGCGUAAAGCGUAUGUAGGCGGCAAGUUAAGUUCAAUGUUAAAGCCCACGGCUCAACCGAGGAGAUGCAUUGAAUACUGGCUAGCUAGAGGGUGUUAGAGGAAGACGGAAUUCCCAGUGUAGCGGUGAAAUGCGUAGAUAUUGGGAGGAACAUCGGUAGCGAAAGCGGUCUUCUGGGACAUACCUGACGCUGAGGUACGAAAGCGUGGGGAGCAAACGGGAUUAGAAACCCGAGUAGUCC
RNAcentral lists this ribosomal RNA (425 nucleotides) under uncultured bacterium. RNAcentral's name for it is "partial 16S ribosomal RNA". It matches the Rfam family "Bacterial small subunit ribosomal RNA", at positions 354 to 796 of the family's 1533-position model. The record is from RNAcentral.